Molecule: microRNA precursor, 196 nt
Filed under: Oryza punctata
Lineage: Eukaryota; Viridiplantae; Streptophyta; Magnoliopsida; Poales; Poaceae
Description: MIR812 microRNA precursor family
Rfam family: MIR812 microRNA precursor family
Source: Rfam by way of RNAcentral
ACUCCCUCCGUUCCAAAUGUUUUGCACUACUCAUUGAUCGUUCAUCUUAUUUUAAAAAAAUAUUAAUAUUUUUAUUAUAGAUGAUAAAAUAUAAAUAGUAUUUUAUGUAUGACUAAUUUUUUAAAAAAUUUUACAAAUUUUUUAAAUAAAAUGGAUGGUCAAAUGUUUAACAUGGAUAUUCACGGUUGCACUUAAA